UUUUUUAUUUUAAUUUAUUUUGUUAUUUGUAUUUCUUUUCUUUUGUGUAUUGUUUCUUUUCCUGUGCAGGUCACCCACUCAAAAAUUACAUUACAACUUCGAGCAUUAAAGCCAAGGUGGACGACCUAACAAUACCAUCAUGAAUGAUCACGCUAUUAGGGAAGUUCAAUAACCUUCUAAUCUUUAGUAUUGGGCUACACAUUGAGGGCAAUAUGUAAUUUAAAUGUG
Molecule: long non-coding RNA, 228 nt
Filed under: Gossypium raimondii (Peruvian cotton)
Lineage: Eukaryota; Viridiplantae; Streptophyta; Magnoliopsida; Malvales; Malvaceae
Description: long non-coding RNA (GRAI_LNC008455)
Source: RNAcentral